GUUGGCCAUCCUUCUAGACACGACUACACAGGUACGAUAGAGCUCUGUUGUGUCACCUGUGCGUGCAUAGGGAUUCAUGAGCUCUCUCACUGCCUUUCCCUGUGCUCUCUUGCUAGUUGUUGGCUCAAAGGUACAGAUGGCUGCCAGGAUGCUGAUGCUGUAUCCGGGGCUGAUAGCCUGUGAUGAAGUGACUUAUUCAAAAUCUGGGCUGCCCAGCCGUUUCUUUAAAAAGCUUCCAGACAAGGAGAUGAAUGAUGCUGUGACCUCUGAAGUCAUGUAUGAAUAUCUUGGCAGAAAGAAAAACCCAAUGGUUGCGAAGUCGGGCUUUACCAAGGAGAGAGAUGCAAAUCAACCCUUACUAGGUCGAGAGACCGAGAUCACAACUUUCUGGACCACGCUGCGGUUAUUUUUGAGAUGCAAAGAAGGCCACGUUUUAGUAUAUGAAGGAGCGUCAGGCUAUGGGAAAAGCCGACUACUUGCUGAAAUAAACUACUCAGCCCAGAAGGACAA
Alligator sinensis (Chinese alligator) is the source of this 510-nucleotide long non-coding RNA. RefSeq lists it as uncharacterized. NCBI's taxonomy places the organism in Eukaryota, Metazoa, Chordata, Crocodylia, Alligatoridae. The transcript is spliced from 3 exons. The record is from RefSeq and is a predicted model, not a curated record.